This 696-nucleotide ribosomal RNA is filed under the name Sordariomycetes sp. genotype 10. RNAcentral describes it as "eukaryotic LSU rRNA". The stretch from base 108 to 696 matches the Rfam family "Eukaryotic large subunit ribosomal RNA", at positions 1 to 599 of the family's 3401-position model. The record is from RNAcentral. Lineage: Eukaryota; Fungi; Ascomycota; Sordariomycetes.
CUUAAAGUGAUCGGCGGAGUUAGGGCAUACUCUAAGCGUAGUAAUAUUCUUCUCGCUUCUGUAGUUGUCCUGGCGGCUUGCCGUUAAACCCCUAUAUUUCUAGUGGUUGACCUCGGAUUAGGUAGGAAUACCCGCUGAACUUAAGCAUAUCAAUAAGCGGAGGAAAAGAAACCAACAGGGAUUGCCCUAGUAACGGCGAGUGAAGCGGCAACAGCUCAAAUUUGAAAUCUGGCCCUAGCGGUCCGAGUUGUAAUUUGUAGAGGAUGCUUUUGGUUAGGUGCCUUCUGAGUUCCCUGGAACGGGACGCCAGAGAGGGUGAGAGCCCCGUACGGUUGGACACCGAGCCUCUAUAUAGCUCCUUCGACGAGUCGAGUAGUUUGGGAAUGCUGCUCUAAAUGGGAGGUAAAUUUCUUCUAAAGCUAAAUACCGGCCAGAGACCGAUAGCGCACAAGUAGAGUGAUCGAAAGAUGAAAAGUACUUUGAAAAGAGGGUUAAAUAGCACGUGAAAUUGUUGAAAGGGAAGCGUUUGCGACCAGACUUUUUCCAGGCGGAUCAUCCGGUGUUCUCACCGGUGCACUUCGCCUGGUUUAGGCCAGCAUCGGUUCUCUUAGGGGGAUAAAGGCCUGGGGAACGUAGCUCCUUCGGGAGUGUUAUAGCCCCUAGCGUAAUACCCUUCGGGGGACCGAGGAACGCGCA